RNAcentral lists this ribosomal RNA (478 nucleotides) under uncultured bacterium. RNAcentral describes it as "partial 16S ribosomal RNA". It matches the Rfam family "Bacterial small subunit ribosomal RNA", at positions 28 to 523 of the family's 1533-position model. The record is from RNAcentral.
GACGAACGCUGGCGGCGUGCUUAACACAUGCAAGUCGAACGGUAAGGCCCUUCGGGGUACACGAGUGGCGAACGGGUGAGUAACACGUGGGUGAUCUGCCCUGCACUUCGGGAUAAGCCUGGGAAACUGGGUCUAAUACCGGAUAGGACCACUGCCUGCAUGGGUGGUGGUGGAAAGCUUUCGCGGUGUGGGAUGGGCCCGCGGCCUAUCAGCUUGUUGGUGGGGUGAUGGCCUACCAAGGCGACGACGGGUAGCCGGCCUGAGAGGGUGACCGGCCACACUGGGGCUGAGAUACGGCCCAGACUCCGACGGGAGGCAGCAGUGGGGAAUAUUGCACAAUGGGCGCAAGCCUGAUGCAGCGACACCGCGUGGGGGAUGACGGCCUUCGGGUUGUAAACCUCUUUCAGCACCGACGAAGCGCAAGUGACGGUAGGUGCAGAAGAAGGACCGGCCAACUACGUGCCAGCAGCCGCAGUAA